Molecule: ribosomal RNA, 254 nt
Filed under: uncultured bacterium
Lineage: Bacteria
Description: partial 16S ribosomal RNA
Rfam family: Bacterial small subunit ribosomal RNA
Source: RNAcentral
UACAGAGGUCCCAAGCGUUGUUCGGAUUCACUGGGCGUAAAGGGUGCGCAGGUGGUUUGGCAAGUUUGAUGUGAAAGCCCCGGGCUUAACCCGGGAAUGGCAUUGAAUACUGCUUGAACUGGAGGGUCGGAGGGGGGACUGGAAUUCUUGGUGUAGCAGUGAAAUGCGUAGAUAUCAAGAGGAACACCAGUGGCGAAGGCGACUCUCUGGACUGUAACUGACGCUGAGGAGCGAAAGCGUGGGGAGCAAACAGG